Molecule: ribosomal RNA, 359 nt
Filed under: Escherichia coli
Lineage: Bacteria; Pseudomonadati; Pseudomonadota; Gammaproteobacteria; Enterobacterales; Enterobacteriaceae
Description: bacterial SSU rRNA
Rfam family: Bacterial small subunit ribosomal RNA
Source: RNAcentral
AAAUUGAAGAGUUUGAUCAUGGCUCAGAUUGAACGCUGGCGGCAGGCCUAACACAUGCAAGUCGAACGGUAACAGGAAGCAGCUUGCUGCUUUGCUGACGAGUGGCGGACGGGUGAGUAAUGUCUGGGAAACUGCCUGAUGGAGGGGGAUAACUACUGGAAACGGUAGCUAAUACCGCAUAACGUCGCAAGACCAAAGGGGGGGACCUUAGGGCCUCUUGCCAUCGGAUGUGCCCAGAUGGGAUUAGCUAGUAGGUGGGGUAAAGGCUCACCUAGGCGACGAUCCCUAGCUGGUCUGAGAGGAUGACCAGCCACACUGGAACUGAGACACGGUCCAGACUCCUACGGGAGGCAGCAGUG